AGCGAACGCUGGCGGCAUGCCUAACACAUGCAAGUCGCACGGGGGGGCUUCGGCCUCCCAGUGGCGGACGGGUGAGGAACGCGUAGGGACCUGUCGAGGGGUGGGGGAUAACCGCGGGAAACUGCGUCUAAUACCGCAUGACGCCGCGGCGUGACAGCCGGGGCCACAGGCGUAAGCCGCCCGCCGAGGGGCCUGCGUCCGAUUAGCUGGUUGGCGGGGUAGCGGCCCACCAAGGCGUCGAUCGGUAGCUGGUCUGAGAGGGUGAGCAGCCACACCGGGACUGAGACACGGCCCGGACUCCUACGGGAGGCAGCAGUGGGGAAUAUUGGACAAUGGGCGCAAGCCUGAUCCAGCAAUGCCGCGUGGGUGAAGAAGGUCUUCGGAUUGUAAAGCCCUUUCGGCGGGGACGAUGGUGACGGUACCCGAAGAAGAAGCCCCGGCUAACUUCGUG
This 451-nucleotide ribosomal RNA is filed under the name uncultured bacterium. RNAcentral describes it as "partial 16S ribosomal RNA". It matches the Rfam family "Bacterial small subunit ribosomal RNA", at positions 28 to 507 of the family's 1533-position model. The record is from RNAcentral.